AUUGAACGCUGGCGGCAUGCCUUACACAUGCAAGUCGAACGGCAGCACGGGAGCAAUCCUGGUGGCGAGUGGCGAACGGGUGAGUAAUGUAUCGGAACGUGCCCAGUCGUGGGGGAUAACGUAGCGAAAGCUACGCUAAUACCGCAUACGAUCUAUGGAUGAAAGCGGGGGAACGCAAGAACUCGCGCGAUUGGAGCGGCGGAUAUCAGAUUAGGUAGUUGGUGGGGUAAAGGCUCACCAAGCCGACGAUCUGUAGCUGGUCUGAGAGGACGACCAGCCACACUGGGACUGAGACACGGCCCAGACUCCUACGGGAGGCAGCAGUGGGGAAUUUUGGACAAUGGGCGCAAGCCUGAUCCAGCAAUGCCGCGUGCAGGAUGAAGGCCUUCGGGUUGUAAACUGCUUUUGUACGGAACGAAACGGUGAGCUCUAAUACAGUUUGCUAAUGACGGUACCGUAAGAAUAAGCACCGGCUAACUACGUGCCAGCCGCCGCCGUAA
This 500-nucleotide ribosomal RNA is filed under the name uncultured bacterium. RNAcentral describes it as "partial 16S ribosomal RNA". It matches the Rfam family "Bacterial small subunit ribosomal RNA", at positions 30 to 523 of the family's 1533-position model. The record is from RNAcentral.